GUCACGUUUGUAGGUACCAUGUUCUAGCUUUCAUGCGUACUGAGAUGUGUCCUUUCAAUGGUGCUGCUCUUUGGCAGAUUAAAAAUGGUUGCAGUCUCUCAUGAUUUGCCUGAUUCAACUGUUUGUGUAUGAAGGUCCUCUGUGUCUGUGUUUUAGACUACUACGGAGGAACUGAAUGAGAGGGUGAAUCUGCAGCAGAGCAGCCCGCAGGAACUACAGAGAGGUACCGUGAGAGAAAGCUGCUGGCAAGGGAAGGGCAGGCUGUGCAGGCAGCUGAGCAGGCACAUGAAGAGGAGCUUCGCCAGCUCAGACACUGGCACAGAGAGAACCGGCUGCGUCUGCCGGAGGACGACUGGGCUGCUCCAGGUGAGCUGGAUCACGGCGCUGACAUCACCAGCCCAGAGAGCCUGCAGCCUGGGCACGGUUCUGGACCUGAUGAGGGGCAGGAGGAGAGGAGAACAGGCUUUAUCACCAACGCUGAGAAAGAGAUCUGCUCCUCAGCCCUGGAGCAGGAUGGAACUGAGUCCUCUGUCGGUCUCGGCACCGGAAGGAUCUCCGUCUCGGUCAGCUGGAGUCGGAGAGCUGGGAGCGAGAGGGCGCGGGCGGGGGCAGAGCAGACAGAACGAGCAGCACUGGCGCUGCCUAGAGGCCUGCGUACACAACAGCACAAAGAGGGGCAAAAUGAGCUGAAAACAACGAUUGGUAUCCUUUUUAUUUCAUUAUAAAUGUUUACAACAUUUAAGACAUUUCCAGGAAUAAGAUGCCAGUCUGAGGCUCAGUAUUGUCAGUUAUUAUUACACAACCUGCUAAUUCUUCCUUCUGCCUUAUAAUUUUCUGGAAAUUAUUACUCUUCUGUAAGGUCUUCUUGUCCCUUCUGUUUUUCAUCUCUCCUCCUGUUAUUAUAUCUAUUUCCUUGGUUAUCUAAGGAAUGCCUGAGGCUGGUGUUGCACCUGAAGGGCCUGUGGAGGACGGUCGCCUGUCGCCGUGGGAACCUCUGGCCCUGGGCAGUGAGGCAGUGAGAGAAAGGGGCGACGGCCUGGUACAUCCUCAGGGGCCUCCAGGGCAGGGAAUCAGGGGCAGGGUGUCAGGGCUUUGAAGGGGUGCUGGGAUAAAUAAUGGAUCACAAAUGAAGAGGGUGGCAUGACUUCAAAGGGUUAAUAAAUCAGUGUAUAUUUUGUUUAAAUAGGUUAUGAGAAUAGUUCAGAAUGGUGUGAUUGCAUUUAAG
RNAcentral lists this long non-coding RNA (1225 nucleotides) under Lepisosteus oculatus (spotted gar). Its description in RNAcentral is "lncRNA (ENSLOCG00000022654.1)". The record is from RNAcentral. Lineage: Eukaryota; Metazoa; Chordata; Actinopteri; Semionotiformes; Lepisosteidae.